CGGUGGUUACUGUGGUGGAAACUUGUGGUGGUGGUGCCACUCUACUUAUUGUCGCAUUUAGCCCCGUGGAUCGCUGUGGUCCCAUUCCUUGGAUAUUGGAAUUUUCACUCGUGGAAUUUUCUAAAUUUCUAACCAUUGUAUUCUUCUUUUACGUUUUAUCAAAGAAUCUUUGCAAAUAAAAAGUUCUAAUAAUAAAAACAUACAAAAAAAUACACGUACACUAGAAAAUAGAGAAAAACCUUUUUUAUGUGAGAGUCUUCUAUGAGUGUGGAUUUCUUCCCUCAAUGAAAGCACCAAUUUGUGGAUGCAAAUUUCUUCCUCCUUGAUCUUGGACAUAAUUGCACCUACAAAACAAUUAACACCUUGGGUCAAGGCUAGACCAAGCAGUUUCUGACACGACACGGUGACAUGACACGAAAAUAACGGGUUUCGGAUCAACACAAUAACUUAUCGGGUCAUUAUCUGGUGACCCGUUAAGAACCCAUUAAUAACGGGUUCUUAAUGGGUAUACACGCGGGUAACACGUGGGUAACCUGUUUCGACCCGUUAAGAAAAUAUUUAUUUUGAUAAUUUUAAAGUUUAAUUACUAAAAGAUUUCUUAUAAAAUACAAUAGCCAUAUUAAUAUAUACAAUAUAUUCUAUACUAAAUAUAUAGUUUUGUAUUAUUAUUCUAUAUAAGUUUUAAAAAAAAAGUUUUAGUCAUUAUUUAUUUUUAUUAUGAGAGUUCCUUAUUACCAUUACUAGGAUAAAUUUUACUUAACAUGUUGUUGUCCAAAAUUAAAAUAAACUAAUAUAGUAUUUGUAUAGGAAAGAACUAAGAAGACAUACAUACAAGUAUGAAAAAUGAAAAAGAAUAUAUAAACACUCGUGAUUUACGCUUACAUUAUCGUUUAGAUUUUUAAAAUCCUCCAAACCUUCAUGAAUAAUGUUUUUUAUUUGAGGGAAAAAUUAAUAAUAAUUAUUGUAAAAGCGUAAAAAAUGUAAAAAAAAUAUACAAUCACUCAUAGUGACAAACUUUACAACUUUCAUGAAGGGGUCAACUUCGAAAUCCAACACUAUAAUUCAUAAACCUUAAAUUUAUAUUUAACCGUCGAUUGUCAUUUACGCUUUAUUUUUCUUACUGAAUUUCAUUUUUAAAAUUUUCUUUUUUGAAAACAUGAUCAUAUGGCGGAUGUAAGAAGAUGAACGGUUCAGAUCUUUGAUAUCACAUUACGAUAUUUACGGUUAACUGAAAUAUGAGUCGAUGUCAUAUAAUUUGUAGAAACUUUAUAAACAUCAAGCAAUAUUUUCACUAACCGUAAAACUCUAAAUAUAAUAUCAACGAUCCAAACCGUUCAUCUUCCUGCAUCCUCUAAUAGAUCAAGUUUUCAAAAAAGAAAAUCUGAAAAUACAAAAUUUGAUGAGAACAAUGAAGCAUAAAUGUAAACAACAAUCAACGGUUAAAUUUUGAUCUAUGAUUUAUAUGAUUAUAGUGCGAAUUUUGAAGUUAAGCUCUUCAUGACAGUUAUAAAGCUUGUCAUUACGAGCGUUUAUGUAUUUUUUCUAUAUUUUUUUACACUUCUACAUUAAUUAAAAAACUAUUAAAGACUUUAGGUAAGUGAAAAUAUACUUAAAAGAAAAUUGUGUUUUAUGUUUUGGAUGUGACAAUAUGAUAUGUAUAUACUUAUUUAGUAUUAUGUUUUUCAUUUGAUUAUUUAUUGGUUUAAAAUAUAUUAUCCUUAACGGGUAACGAGUCAAGUCAUAUUACCUGUUAAUAUUAUCGGGUUUCAGGUCGGGUCAUUUUACCCGUUUAUUUUAACGGGUGUUACACGACACGACCCGUUAAGAUAUCGGGUAUGACACGAAAACGACACGAACACGGAAAACACGACACAAAUGCCAGGUCUAGUCAAGGCCAAGAGCCUCACGCGCCCACG
RNAcentral lists this long non-coding RNA (1916 nucleotides) under Malus domestica (apple). RNAcentral's name for it is "long non-coding RNA (MDOM_LNC011078)". The record is from RNAcentral. Lineage: Eukaryota; Viridiplantae; Streptophyta; Magnoliopsida; Rosales; Rosaceae.